This 71-nucleotide transfer RNA is filed under the name Leiopelma archeyi (Coromandel frog). RNAcentral describes it as "tRNA-Gln". It matches the Rfam family "tRNA". Rfam says of the family: Transfer RNA (tRNA) molecules are approximately 80 nucleotides in length. Their secondary structure includes four short double-helical elements and three loops (D, anti-codon, and T loops). Further hydrogen bonds mediate the characteristic L-shaped molecular structure. tRNAs have two regions of fundamental functional importance: the anti-codon, which is responsible for specific mRNA codon recognition, and the 3' end, to which the tRNAs corresponding amino acid is attached (by aminoacyl-tRNA synthetases). tRNAs cope with the degeneracy of the genetic code in two manners: having more than one tRNA (with a specific anti-codon) for a particular amino acid; and 'wobble' base-pairing, i.e. permitting non-standard base-pairing at the 3rd anti-codon position. The record is from RNAcentral. Lineage: Eukaryota; Metazoa; Chordata; Amphibia; Anura; Leiopelmatidae.
UAGAUAAUGGUGUACAGGGGGCACGAAGAGUUUUGAUCUCUUAAGUAUGGGUUCAAUUCCUAUUUAUUUAA